UGGGGAAUAUGCACAAUGGGCGCAAGCCUGAUGCAGCCAUGCCGCGUGUGUGAAGAAGGCCUUCGGGUUGUAAAGCACUUUCAGCGAGGAGGAAGGUGGUGAACUUAAUACGUUCAUCAAUUGACGUUACUCGCAGAAGAAGCACCGGCUAACUCCGUGCCAGCAGCCGCGGUAAUACGGAGGGUGCAAGCGUUAAUCGGAAUUACUGGGCGUAAAGCGCACGCAGGCGGUUGUUAAGUCAGAUGUGAAAUCCCCGGGCUCAACCUGGGAACUGCAUUUGAAAACUGGCAAGCUAGAGUCUCGUAGAGGGGGGUAGAAUUCCAGGUGUAGCGGUGAAAUGCGUAGAGAUCUGGAGGAAUACCGGUGGCGAAGGCGGCCCCCCUGGACGAAGACUGACGCUCAGGUGCGAAAAGCGUGGGGAGCAAAACAGGAUUAGAUACCCCUGGUAGUCCACGCUGUAAAACGAUGUCGAUUUUGGAGGUUGUGCCCUUGAGGCGUGGNUUCCGGAGCUAACGCGUUAAAUCGACCG
This 529-nucleotide ribosomal RNA is filed under the name uncultured bacterium. Its description in RNAcentral is "partial 16S ribosomal RNA". It matches the Rfam family "Bacterial small subunit ribosomal RNA", at positions 355 to 871 of the family's 1533-position model. The record is from RNAcentral.